GACGAACGCUGGCGGCGUGCUUAACACAUGCAAGUCGAGCGGAAAGGCCCUUCGGGGUACUCGAGCGGCGAACGGGUGAGUAACACGUGAGUAACCUGCCCCAGACUUUGGGAUAACCCUCGGAAACGGGGGCUAAUACCGGAUACGACACAGCUUCGCAUGGGGUCUGUGUGGAAAGUUUUUCGGUUUGGGAUGGGCUCGCGGCCUAUCAGCUUGUUGGUGGGGUGACGGCCUACCAAGGCGACGACGGGUAGCCGGCCUGAGAGGGCGACCGGCCACACUGGGACUGAGACACGGCCCAGACUCCUACGGGAGGCAGCAGUGGGGAAUAUUGCACAAUGGGCGGAAGCCUGAUGCAGCGACGCCGCGUGAGGGAUGACGGCCUUCGGGUUGUAAACCUCUUUCAGCAGGGACGAAGCGUAAGUGACGGUACCUGCAGAAGAAGCGCCGGCCAACUACGCG
RNAcentral lists this ribosomal RNA (462 nucleotides) under uncultured bacterium. RNAcentral's name for it is "partial 16S ribosomal RNA". It matches the Rfam family "Bacterial small subunit ribosomal RNA", at positions 28 to 507 of the family's 1533-position model. The record is from RNAcentral.